This 459-nucleotide ribosomal RNA is filed under the name uncultured bacterium. Its description in RNAcentral is "bacterial SSU rRNA". It matches the Rfam family "Bacterial small subunit ribosomal RNA", at positions 340 to 786 of the family's 1533-position model. The record is from RNAcentral.
UACGGAAGGCAGCAGUGGGGAAUAUUGCACAAUGGGCGCAAGCCUGAUGCAGCCAUGCCGCGUGUAUGAAAAAGGCCUUCGGGUUGUAAAGUACUUUCAGUCGUGAGGAAGGUGUUAAGGUUAAUAACCUUAGCAAUUGACGUUAGCGACAGAAGAAGCACCGGCUAACUCCGUGCCAGCAGCCGCGGUAAUACGGAGGGUGCGAGCGUUAAUCGGAAUUACUGGGCGUAAAGGGCACGCAGGCGGUUAAUUAAGUUGGAUGUGAAAUCCCCGGGCUUAACCUGGGAAUGGCAUUCAAGACUGGUUAGCUAGAGUCUUGUAGAGGGGGUAGAAUUCCAUGUGUAGCGGUGAAAAUGCGUAGAGAUGUGGAGGAAUACCGGUGGCGAAAGGCGGCCCCUGGGACAAAAGACUGACGCUCAUGUGCGAAAAGCGUGGGGAGCAAAACAGGGAUUAGAUACC